UACGGGAGGCAGCAGUGGGGAAUAUUGCACAAUGGGGGAAACCCUGAUGCAGCGACGCCGCGUGCGGGAAGAAGGCCUUCGGGUUGUAAACCGCUUUCAAUUGGGAAGAAGAGAUGAGUGCUAAUAUCACUCUGAUUUGACGGUACCUUUAGAAGAAGCACCGGCUAAUUUCGUGCCAGCAGCCGCGGUAAUACGAAAGGUGCAAGCGUUGUUCGGAUUUACUGGGCGUAAAGAGAUCGUAGGUGGUUUGUUAAGUCGGAUGUGAAAUCCCGGGGCUCAACCUCGGAACUGCAUUCGAUACUGGCAGACUAGAGUUUGGGAGGGGUAAGCGGAAUUCCGUGUGUAGCAGUGAAAUGCGUAGAUAUACGGAGGAACACCUGAGGCGAAGGCGGCUUACUGGACCAAUACUGACACUGAGGAUCGAAAGCGUGGGUAGCAAACAGGAUUAGAUACCCUGGUAGUCCACGCCCUAAACGAUGUCUACUAGCCGUAGCGGGUAUCGACCCCUGCUGUGGCGAAGCUAACGCGAUAAGUAGACCGCCUGGGGAGUACGGUCGCAAGAUUAAAACUCAAAGGAAUUGACGGA
RNAcentral lists this ribosomal RNA (586 nucleotides) under Zetaproteobacteria bacterium S2.5. RNAcentral's name for it is "bacterial SSU rRNA". It matches the Rfam family "Bacterial small subunit ribosomal RNA", at positions 340 to 917 of the family's 1533-position model. Lineage: Bacteria; Pseudomonadati; Pseudomonadota; Candidatius Mariprofundia. The record is from RNAcentral.